RNAcentral lists this ribosomal RNA (484 nucleotides) under uncultured bacterium. RNAcentral's name for it is "partial 16S ribosomal RNA". It matches the Rfam family "Bacterial small subunit ribosomal RNA", at positions 30 to 507 of the family's 1533-position model. The record is from RNAcentral.
AUUGAACGCUGGCGGCAGGCCUAACACAUGCAAGUCGAGCGGAUAAAGGGAGCUUUCUCCUGGAUUCAGCGGCGGACGGGUGAGUAAUGCCUAGGAAUCUGCCUUAUAGUGGGGGAUAACGUCCGGAAACGGGCGCUAAUACCGCACACGUCCUGAGAGAGAAAGUGGGGGAUCUUCGGACCUCACGCUAUCAGAUGAGCCUAGGUCGGAUUAGCUAGUUGGUGGGGUAAAGGCUUACCAAGGCGACGAUCCGUAACUGGUCUGAGAGGAUGAUCAGUCACACUGGAACUGAGACACGGUCCAGACUCCUACGGGAGGCAGCAGUGGGGAAUAUUGGACAAUGGGCGAAAGCCUGAUCCAGCCAUGCCGCGUGUGUGAAGAAGGUCUUCGGAUUGUAAAGCACUGUAAGUUGGGAGGAAGGGCAGUAAGUUUAUACCUUGCUGUUUUGACGUUACCAACAGAAUAAGCACCGGCUAACUUCGUG